GUGAGGAAUAUUGGACAAUGGGCGCAAGCCUGAUCCAGCCAUGCCGCGUGCAGGAAGACGCAUCUAUGGUGUGUAAACUGCUUUUGUACGGGAAGAAACACUCCCUCGUGAGGGAGCUUGACGGUACCGUAAGAAUAAGGAUCGGCUAACUCCGUGCCAGCAGCCGCGGUAAUACGGAGGAUCCAAGCGUUAUCCGGAAUCAUUGGGUUUAAAGGGUCCGUAGGCGGUUUAAUAAGUCAGUGGUGAAAGCUCAUCGCUCAACGAUGGAACGGCCAUUGAUACUGUUAGACUUGAAUUACAAGGAAGUAACUAGAAUAUGUAGUGUAGCGGUGAAAUGCUUAGAUAUUACAUGGAAUACCAAUUGCGAAGGCAGGUUACUACUUGUGGAUUGACGCUGAUGGACGAAAGCGUGGGGAGCGAACAGGAUUAGAUACCCGUGUAGUCC
This 445-nucleotide ribosomal RNA is filed under the name uncultured bacterium. RNAcentral's name for it is "partial 16S ribosomal RNA". It matches the Rfam family "Bacterial small subunit ribosomal RNA", at positions 354 to 796 of the family's 1533-position model. The record is from RNAcentral.